UACGUAGGGUGCAAGCGUUAAUCGGAAUUACUGGGCGUAAAGCGUGCGCAGGCGGUUCUGUAAGUCUGUCGUGAAAUCCCCGGGCUCAACCUGGGAAUUGCGAUGGAGACUGCAAGGCUAGAAUCUGGCAGAGGGGGGUAGAAUUCCACGUGUAGCAGUGAAAUGCGUAGAGAUGUGGGAGGAACACCGGAUGGCGCAAGGCAGCCCCCUGGGUCAAGAUUGACGCUCAUGCACGAAAGGCGUGGGG
Molecule: ribosomal RNA, 247 nt
Filed under: uncultured bacterium
Lineage: Bacteria
Description: partial 16S ribosomal RNA
Rfam family: Bacterial small subunit ribosomal RNA
Source: RNAcentral